Strigops habroptila (Kakapo) is the source of this 8171-nucleotide long non-coding RNA. RefSeq lists it as uncharacterized. NCBI's taxonomy places the organism in Eukaryota, Metazoa, Chordata, Aves, Psittaciformes, Psittacidae. The transcript is spliced from 2 exons. The record is from RefSeq and is a predicted model, not a curated record.
AAUAGGCAAUAGAAAUGGCCACAAUGACUGAAAAAAGCCGGUAUGCUAAAGUAGCUUUUCUUGAACUUCCCUUCCAUAAAAGAGGCAUUAAAAAAAUAGUAAUAUGCUGUGUAAUCUGGGAAACCUCAUAGGUGAACAUUGGCAGCUUCAUGAUCCAAUUUAAACACUCCCUGAACCCACACAUCCCAUUGCCAAAAACUUCUUAUGCUUUAAACGUUUGUACAUCACAUAAUAAUUUGUAUUCAGUUGCAUCUUCUGUUUGUGCUUCUUGAACGGGCGUAAGCUUGUCUGGUUUUUUAAUCAGGAAAUGGGAGAAAGUGGCAGCCUCAAGCUGUCAUUGUGCACAGAAAACAUUGAGACGUACCUAUUAAUCCUGCAGAAGCAGCAUGUUAAAUUCCCACUGUUCGUAAUCUCCCGUUGGAACCGAUAUUGGCUAAUGACUUUAAUGGUAUUGCACUUGGCAAAAAUUAAACACAUCUUUCAUCCUUUCCUAAAGCUAUUUCUGUUUCAAAGCAUUGUAGAUAAGGAGGCAAAGUGGACAAAGAAUUAUUAUAUGUUGUAUUUAAGAGAAUAGUGUAAAAAUGAGUGAGUUAUGCUGGCAAAUCUGAUGGCAUUUGUCCAGUGUUUCUCAACUGGCAAAGAGACAUUCACUCAGUUCUGACAACCUAAUGAUUUUGAUGACACUCUGAUAGUUUCUUGAGCGUAGGUACAAUAAGUGGUGUUGAAAAGCUGUUGUUCUCAUACUGUGACAGUGAAAAUUUGCUGGAUUUUAAGGCCAGUGCAACUCUGCCAAUGAAUGAAGUCUUAUAUCUUUAGAGGCAGAAGCAAUUCUGUUUCCUUCCCAGGAUAAUGACUACUUUACAUGGAGCUGAGGAUAACAGGCAGUGUGCAAUCAGAGUGCUUGCUUUACAGAAAUGAUUGAGCUACUGGCCUUCGGUAUCAUUGAAGUUGCUUCUUCUUUUUGACAAUCCUCCAAGCCCAAAGCAAAGGUAUCAUUUAGGAAAGCUAGGAAUGUGCAAUCUGUAAUAUCUAAGUUAGGUAGGUCUUUUUUUCUCAAGGGCAAAUCGGUUGAAUGCCGUUUUGUAAGUAGGGGGUUGGUUUAAUUGUCUGUGUCUCUAUUCGAUGCAAUAAACAGUUCAUUCUUCCUAUGGGUAAGUGGGUGACAUCUCACAGAGAGCCAGAAAUAGAAACAGCUAUUGAGGAUGUGCAUGGGUGAGAAACCUCUGCUCUGUGAAGUGGCUGCUCCUGAUGAGGCAGGGGAGUACUUAGAUUCCCCAGCUGCCCAGUUUAGACUCACUGUCUUCCUGCAUACACUGUACCGAAAUUUAUACUGUCAGAGGUGCUCUGAAAUGUCACUGGAAGUUAGGUUUUGUAUCUUGCUAACUUCUCAGUGUUUUCUAGUGACAAUACAGAAGAACAUGAAUGUGAUGAUCUUACUCAAGCCACAAGCAAACACAAGAUACCAUCUAUUCUAAAAGGAAAGAAUUUUAUUUGCUCUUAUGCUUUAAGAAUAUGCAGAUAUAAUAAAUACUACUAUUUAUCCUUUAAAAAGUUAUGUUCUGGGAAAUCUCCUUCCAUCAGUGGCCUGUUUGCAUGCAAAGAGAGAACAGAAUGUAUUCUAAGUACCAAUUAAAACAGUGUACAGAGUUUAAAAUGGCAAGAGUAGAUUCAAAGGGGUGUUACGAAUUACAUGUAGAAACUUGUUCAGGUCCAGGCAAGUAUAACUUCACUCCCACAGCUGGCAUCAUUCAGGAAGUCAGGUCAUAGGUAGAACGAACUAAGUAGGAUGAUUUCCAGUUUCAGCUACAGUUCAAGAUUAUUUUACUAUUGGGUUUUUUUCCUUUUUGCCUUUUUUCUUUAUUUUCAAAAUAUCGUAGAUUCCCAACCUUGCUUUUAACAAUAGAAAAUGUAGUUCUGUAUUUCGUUGUGCUUGGCUCAGACUUACUGAUGUUCUUUCUCAUUUGGGAGUGAAGAAGGAGAACAGUGCUAUGAUUUAAUGUGUUCACAGAUUCAGGAACCAAGUUGUGAAAAACUGAGUUGUAAGAAAUCAACAGCUGGGCUGAGGCAUCAUCUAAACAAUGACAGGUGAGUCACAGUGAGUUGAAAUGUCACAACCAGUUUAUGUACAGUGUACAUCUAAAACCAGUGGUAGGUACAUGGUUGAGGAGCUGUACCUCCAUUACCAGUGGUCUGUAGCUAUGGGUGAAGGUAAUACGCUUGGCUGCUAUUUUUCAUGCUUCAGAGUUGUCCCUUUCCAUUUCGCCUUGCUGAAGAUCUGGAGGGUAUCUUGUAAAGUCUGAAAAUAAUGACAAGUUUGAGCAGCCAUCAGCUGAUUUGAUCCUCUCAGGGAAGUACUUUCUUGGCCUCUUAAAAGGCCAGAUAUCUCCAUACAGUCUCAGUUAUUGUUCUGUUUGUGAGUGGAUCUAGCUAGAUGAAAGCAGCCAGUCCCCAAAUGCUUAUAAGCACUUUUUCCCUUGUGGUACAUGCUUUCUGCUUGGCUAAAGGCUCGCUUGUGGCCAGUCCAGCUUCAUCCUGAGCCUCCUGAAAGCCCCAGUUUCAUGCCAGAAGUCACAGCAUUCUCUGAGGAAAGAAGUAAGCAGUUGUGACCCUAAAGUAGUACCCCAUGAUGAAUUUUUGUUUCUAAUAAUGAGUACCUCAAAGCUCAGUUCUAACUCUGAACUUGACAGAUGAUACAAAACCCAUUUUUUAAAGGUCUCUCAUCGUCUGAACGCUGGAAUGUUCAAGACCAAAGUUUUACAGCUUUUAGCCCUUAGCUAGUAAUGAGUUUUACACCUUAAUAAAAGCUCCAGCAAAGUAAGAUCUAUCUGCAGUUUCUUUAAAGUCACUGAAGAGUCACUGAUUUCAUUCAGGCAUUGUCAGCAGUACAAAAGCAGCUUCUCAACAGUCUUCUAUAAAUGAACUGUUACCUUAAGAAACAGCUUCCCAUUACUUGUUCUCAUAUAGUUACUUUUUCUAUCCAAAUCACAUAGUCUAACUUCAGUUGAAAUAUUGUUCACUCCGUUACAAAAAGCUUUCAAUACCAUUGCCAUUGCCUAGACAGAAAUUAGCAGGAGGGAGGUUUCACAGAACCUCCCUGAAAAUGCGUGAUCUUUGCAGAAUGGACUGCUUAUAAAAAGCCUUCCAAAUCCUCCUCUUGUUCAUACCACAGAGGCCAGGUCUGUGAAUGAUCUGCCAAUAAAUAAAAACGAUGUGCCAAUCACACUUGUUUUUCUCCACCUUCUUAGAGAGGUAUUUCAGUGUUCAGUGCAUAGCCGAACUCUCUGAAAAGCAUUCUAGAUGAUCACUCAUUGUGUCAAAUUAUGCUGUAUUAGGUGGCUGAUAGGCUGAUAGGUGGCUAUUUGCUGGUGUGCAGCUGUAAUUCGAGUUACAUAUGUGGGUUUAUUAGUCAUGGCUUCAGACAAUGGAAAUGAGGGAAAUAUUCCAUUUUAACAGCCAAAGCAGUAUGAAAGUAAUGGUUAAGAAGUGCCAUUUGGGGACAGGGCCACUCGCGGCACUGCUGCAGGGCUGGGGAGGAGAGGACAUGCUGUGGUGCUGUCCCACGGGCAAGGUGCAUUAUAUGAGAUCCUGCCUUCUGCUGGCUACGCUUCUCAAGCACAUCUGCAGGCUCACGCUGGCACCAAGCUCUUAUAUGACUGAUGGGACAAAGAACUUCAGGACCGUUUUGAGAAAGCGGUGGUGACAAUCAGAACAUUCAGGAGAUUUUAAUUCUUUUAAGAGGGGAGGAACAGGUAAAGGUUAAAUCUUAAAAUACUUAAGCCUAGUUCAAAUGUGUGACUGUAAUCACAGUAUCCGGAAACCUGUUUUUAUGAAGAAAAUGAAACAUGGUCAUUGCAAUGUAAAAAUGCUUCUUUCAAAAAAGUCAGUAGCCUGUAAAUGGAGGAGAAGUCAGCCCCACAAACAACAAAUCAAAUAGAAUGUUUUUUAUUCUGCCAGCUGUUGAUGUCCUGAAAUAACAAAGAAAAAUGCUGUAAACACUGCUGUAUUGGAACACUGAAUCACUGAAUCUAACUUUCCUUUUAAUUGGACUGUCUGGAGGAUGAGCCUCUGCAGUGUCUGGAAGUACCCAUGAAAACUCAAAAGGAGGAAAAGGGAAUAUAUUAAAGCAGCUAAUUUGUAGCAUGGUGCCAGUCUGCCCUUUCCAUUCUCCCUAUCAACAGAAAUCAUAACAAGCUAAUUCCUCACUGUAAAACGUUCUUUGUUAUUUGUACCUCUGAAGCUAAUGGCAUGCUGCACAGAGUGAAAAACAGGGAGAGGGACUGGUACUAUCAGAGAAAAUAAUCAUCUCAUUCCCUUCGAGCAGCAUUGAAAGUUAUUCUGCAGAAAUGGUCACCCUCACAGAAGGGAGAGGAAAACCUCUCUGCUGCCACAUAAAAAGCAGAGGAAUUUGCCUUUUCUAUUGAAUAUUAUAAAUUAUAUUGCUUAGAGUUUUAGUAACAAAAUUUGAUGAGAAAGAGGAAAUCUAAAUCUCGGAAUCUCGUGUUAUCUUUAUUGGUCUAUCUUUGUAGCAUAAAUGCAGCAGCUUUAUUGAGGAAGGACCCCUGAGCACUGGAGUUGAUGCUCAUACCUGCAGACUCAGGGCAUUCACUGCUGCCUAAGGACUGCAGAGUUCCUGUGAGUGCUUCCCCUGGUUCCUGGUUGAGCUGUUGGCUGCAUUGUUGACUUGCAGUGAGAGGUGUUCAGCGAUCUGUGUCCUUCAGCCUACCUCCUGCAACCCCGCUGAUGAAGAAGGACUGUUAAAGGUGUGUGAAGUCAGUGUGUCUUUGCAGGAGCGCUGCUCCUGGCUGGCAGGUUUGUGUUGUGAGGCCGCAGGCAACAACAAGGAUGCAGAAAUUGUAACUAAAUGCAUAAAAGAAGGGACAUUUGGAGGUGUUUUGUUGCUCCUGUGUUGGCUGCUACCAAAGGUAGGGGUAUUUCAAGCCUUUAGGUAAAUGUAAAAAAAAAAAAAACCCCAAACAAAAACCAGGCAACAACGCAAUCCUUUUACAGCCAAACUAUAACCUGAAUCCGAGCAGCACACGGCGCUGCCAUCCCCAAAUACUGCUGGUCAGAGAGAUUUGCAGGAAGUGCCUUAAAGAUUGUGUUACAGCUUCUGUUCUAGUUUAUAUUCAUUACAACUUUUAUCUUUGCACAGUAUAGCUUAGCAUUGUGAAUGUUAUUAGCUGCUGGCUUUGAUUGUCAGGAUUUGUACAAAAAUGUUGCUGUUUGACUAAUUGAAGUCCGGCCAAGUGCACAACGUCAGGCAUUGGGCUCUUCUGCUAAUUGCACUGAGCUUUCUAUCUGUUAAUUUAUUUGGAUAAAUAUUAUCAAAAGGCUUUGAUAAUUAAAAGCUAUUCAUGGAAUGUGCUUAUCACCUGUCACCAUCCUCUUAGACUGUGGUUGUAAUAUAUGGUUGAAGACUGCUACUCCAGCUCUGAGCUCUGUCUAUUUGUUGUCCUGUGCAAUGAGGCUAAAAUCUCCUGGAGACCACACUGCAAUGCAGGUAGUAAUCCUGCAUUGAGAUGUCUGCUGAGAUGUCUGCACCCCGUUCUGUGAGCAUGAUGUUCUCCAUACGCAAGUGUCUGAUAAGAAAUGCACUUCCAGUAGUGUAGAGCUACUAGGAAAUACCAGUGCCAGAGGUGCUGUAGGAGACUUUUCUAACUUUUUAAACUGCAUUUUUCCCCUUUUCUAGAACUUAGAGCUUACUUGAUUUUCAUCUGCAUCAUAGCAUUAAAAUUGGCUUUUGGGUUAAUUUAAAAUAGAUUAAAUUCUUGAAUAGUGGAAUCUUAACAGUGCUAUGCUAGAUUAUGUGCAUUUAAUUUUCUUUGGGUUUGCGUCCUAAAUGCCUUCACAUAGAGAAGGCAAUAGUUUGCACUUGUGUGCAAGAAAAUGAGCUCGGUGAUGAUGUAUGAAGAAACUUUCCUUGCCUGGUUCCUUCUGAUGUGUGUGCUUUUUCUCAUUUCCAGCAGCAAGAGCACUGAAAACUUCCUUAACUGAUGGCUUCAUUCAGGACAUCUCAGAGAUCUUCCCGGAGUACUCCAGGGAGAUCAGUUUAUCAGGUCCAAAGCAAAGCUUUGUUUUUCCCUCUCCUCCUUGACAAAAAGCCAUCACUAGGUUCCAGUGUUCAGAGCAGCACUACAGUCUGAAUGUGUACGAGACCCCAUUGUACUGCCGCAUUCCUGUCAGCUUUCCUGUGAGUGACAAACUGCUGCUGCCUUCAUCUCUAUACGUGUGUAAUAUUAACAGCAGAUUUGUUGACCCUUGCAUUUGCUUUAAAUGUGUCUCAGUAGAGUUGAAGCAGCACACACAGUUUUUGCAGGGGAAAUAAUAGGCAGGUGACUUAAUGGAGAAAUCCACCCACUCCUUUGACUACCCUGUACAAAUGUUUCUAUAGCUGCUGGUAAAUUCAUACAAGCUAAUGAACUGAGAGCAGCUUCCCAGGAUGGGAGAGACCAAUCCUGAAAUCUUCAGCUUGGCUGCCCACAGGGCAGCGUGUCUGAAUGAGUGGUGGGGACUGCAAAGACAGAGCUGUCAGUGUACAGCCGUGCUUGCCGGCUCCGUGUCACCCUUCCCACCCUCCUCUGCCCCGUCCUCACUUGCCCACAACACUGUGCACUCCCCAGAGAAGCAGUUUUGAUUGUGGUCAAAGUGUAGUGAAAUCCUUGCCUCAAAUCAUUGCAGACAUCUCGGUGAUCCUUGCCCUACGUGAAAAGCCAGCAGUUCACCUUAUCCGCACCGCCCCAUACAACUCUGGUCUAUUCUCCAUGUUGUGUCCUCCACUGCUGCAGAAGGAGCUUUCUUAUGCACAGGAAUUUUCAUCGCAUUUAUUUUCCUUGUGUCCUUUUCACAUACCCACAUUAUUUUGUAUGCAGCAUGGAAAAACAAAGAGAUUCCUUUAAAUAUGUGUAUUAUUUCCUCUGCUAAACCUCGAUUAGCUUUUUCUGAUGGUUAUUAUUAAAAAUCAUACUAAUUUACACUGCUAAUGACGGGUUUACUGGCAUUCAUGCGACUCUUAUUGUCAGUAUAGUUUAAAAACUACUGUAUGUGUGUUAUUUCAGAAGCCAGCCCUACCAAGUUCUGUUUGCAACCAGUGGGUGCCAUUCUGUUGCUUUCAUUGGCAUUUCAGCUAUUCUUUAGCAGCUGGUUAAACCUGUGUGCUGUUGGUGAUGGUUUUGUUCCACAGAACAGGGGGAGGAAUCGGGAAAUCUGAAUUAAGUUGAGAGUUUCCACCUCAAUAGACUUCCUAUUGAGCAUAUUGCUUCCUAUUGUUUCCUUGAGCAAAGCAAUAUCUUUGCCCAGUCCCUGUUUGCAAAUAGGCGCAUAGGCAGGUAGGGACUCCUGUCCCAUGGCCUCAGCUGAAAGGACUGUGGUGGGUUGACCCUAGCCAGCAGCUAAGCCCUCACCAGCCCCCCUUUUCUGUUCUUUAUUUUUGUUUGGUUUUGUUUGUGUGUGGGGAUUUGUGGGUUUGGGUUUGUUGGGUUUUUUUGCAUUCACAAAGGUACAUUGAUCAAUUCUUCACUAUUGAAGUCUUUCUGUUUAAGAUGCAUUACCAAUGGGGCAGGAUGCAGAGUGCAUCCUUUUUGUUGCUGGCUGUUAAACAAUGUGUCAUGUUUCCACUUUGAAAUCCCAGAUAAUUAGCUAAAUGUACCCAAGGAAACCCUACUUUACACAAGGUUGCUAAAUAACUGUUACAUUCGUUUAAAAUUAGCUAGAUUGGAGUAUUUUCUGUUCUGCCUUUGCUGAUGCCCUCUGGAAAUGGUGGGGAUCUGGCUGUUUGCUGAAGACAAGGACCUCUGAGACAGGUAAAACAUGACUUUUAUGCUGCUGGGGCAUGUCCUCUCACCUCAACACAACUGGUGGUAUCUGCACGGGAGGAAAGGGAGCUCAGGAUGGAAUAUGGGAAGUUUUUGAUCAUAUAAUUGACUUCUCUCCUCGUGUGCUGAAACACCUGUAAAAGUGUCUUACUUUCUGCUAAAAAUAAGAGAAGCAGCCUCUAACAUCCAAUUAUCUUGGACUGAGAGAAACAGUUGUGUAAGGUUUUAAGGCAGCCUUCAAACAGGCAUCUGAAGCUAUGUCCAGAUUGCAAGCGUAGGCAGAUGUAGGGUAGAAGAGAAUGUGAUUAGCAGGCAUUGACUUGAGGGGUGCAUGGAGUAAUAAAAGAGGUGUUAGAAGAU